Molecule: ribosomal RNA, 406 nt
Filed under: uncultured bacterium
Lineage: Bacteria
Description: partial 16S ribosomal RNA
Rfam family: Bacterial small subunit ribosomal RNA
Source: RNAcentral
AUUGAACGCUGGCGGCAGGCUUAACACAUGCAAGUCGAACGAGCGGAGGACGGGUGAGUCAUGUCUGGGAAACUGCCCGUUGGAGGGGGAUAACUACUGGCAACAGUAUCUAAUACCUCAUACCAUCGACUGUACCCAUAUGGGAUUAGCUAGUAGGUGAGGUAAAGGCUAACCCAGACGACGAGCCCUAGCUGGUCGUAGAGGAUGACCAGCCACAAGGGAACUGAGACACGGGCCAGACUCCUACGGUAGGCAGCAGUGGGGAAUAUUGCACAAUGGGCGCAAGCCUGAUGCAGCCAUGCCGCGUGUAUGAAGAAGGCCCUCGGGUUGUAAAGUACUUUCAGCCGGGAGGCGUUACCCGCAGAAGAAGCACCGGCUAACUCCGUGCCAGCAGCGGCGGUAAUAC